ACGAACGCUGGCGGCACGCCUAACACAUGCAAGUCGAACGCUUGUCACUCAGCAAUGGGUGGCGGGAGUGGCGGACGGGUGAGUAACGCGUGGGAACCUGCCUCGAGGUGCGGGACAACUCCGGGAAAUCGGGGCUAAUACCGCAUGAUGCCGUGGCGACACGGCUAAAGAUUUAUCGCCUUGAGAGGGGCCCGCGUCGGAUUAGGUAGUUGGUGGGGUAACGGCCUACCAAGCCUUCGAUCCGUAGCUGGUCUGAGAGGAUGGCCAGCCACACUGGGACUGAGACACGGCCCAGACUCCUACGGGAGGCAGCAGUGGGGAAUCUUGGACAAUGGGGGCAACCCUGAUCCAGCGAUGCCGCGUGGGUGAUGAAGGCCUUCGGGUUGUAAAGCCCUUUCGGCGGGGACGAUAGUGACGGUACCCGCAGAAGAAGCCUCGGCUAACUCCGU
This 449-nucleotide ribosomal RNA is filed under the name uncultured bacterium. RNAcentral's name for it is "bacterial SSU rRNA". It matches the Rfam family "Bacterial small subunit ribosomal RNA", at positions 29 to 506 of the family's 1533-position model. The record is from RNAcentral.